RNAcentral lists this transfer RNA (78 nucleotides) under Clostridia bacterium. RNAcentral's name for it is "tRNA-Met". It matches the Rfam family "tRNA". Rfam says of the family: Transfer RNA (tRNA) molecules are approximately 80 nucleotides in length. Lineage: Bacteria; Bacillati; Bacillota; Clostridia. The record is from RNAcentral.
CGCGGAGUGGAGCAGCUUGGUAGCUCGUCGGGCUCAUAACCCGAAGGUCGUAUGGUUCAAAUCCUGCCUCCGCAACCA